RNAcentral lists this ribosomal RNA (512 nucleotides) under uncultured bacterium. RNAcentral describes it as "partial 16S ribosomal RNA". It matches the Rfam family "Bacterial small subunit ribosomal RNA", at positions 28 to 523 of the family's 1533-position model. The record is from RNAcentral.
GACGAACGCUGGCGGCGUGCCUAAUACAUGCAAGUCGAGCGAAUCACUGGGAGCUUGCUCCCGGUGGUUAGCGGCGGACGGGUGAGUAACACGUGGGCAACCUGCCUGUAAGACUGGGAUAACACCGGGAAACCGGUGCUAAUACCGGAUAAUCCUUUCCUGCACAUGCAGGAAAGCUGAAAGUCGGUUUCGGCUGACACUUACAGAUGGGCCCGCGGCGCAUUAGCUAGUUGGUGAGGUAACGGCUCACCAAGGCGACGAUGCGUAGCCGACCUGAGAGGGUGAUCGGCCACACUGGGACUGAGACACGGCCCAGACUCCUACGGGGGGCAGCAGUAGGGAAUCUUCCACAAUGGACGAAAGUCUGAUGGAGCAACGCCGCGUGAGCGAUGAAGGCCUUCGGGUCGUAAAGCUCUGUUGUUAGGGAAGAACAAGUACCGGAGUAACUGCCGGUACCUUGACGGUACCUAACCAGAAAGCCACGGCUAACUACGUGCCAGCAGCCGCCGUAA